RNAcentral lists this transfer RNA (56 nucleotides) under Haliaeetus albicilla (white-tailed eagle). It matches the Rfam family "tRNA", at positions 10 to 63 of the family's 71-position model. Rfam says of the family: Transfer RNA (tRNA) molecules are approximately 80 nucleotides in length. The record is from Rfam by way of RNAcentral. Lineage: Eukaryota; Metazoa; Chordata; Aves; Accipitriformes; Accipitridae.
GCUCAGUUGGUAGAGCAUAGGACUCUUAAUCCCAGGGUCAUGGGUUCGAGCCCCAU